CAGCCGCCACGGGAAUACGUAGGUGGCAAGCGUUGUCCGGAAUUAUUGGGCGUAAAGGGCUCGCAGGCGGUUUCUUAAGUCUGAUGUGAAAGCCCCCGGCUCGACCGGGGAGGGUCAUUGGAAACUGGGAAACUUGAGUGCAGAAGAGGAGAGUGGAAUUCCACGUGUAGCGGUGAAAUGCGUAGAGAUGUGGAGGAACACCAGUGGCGAAGGCGACUCUCUGGUCUGUAACUGACGCUGAGGAGCGAAAGCGUGGUGAGCGAACAGGAUUAGAGACCCCCGUAGUCCCUGUCUCUUAUAC
This 301-nucleotide ribosomal RNA is filed under the name uncultured bacterium. RNAcentral's name for it is "partial 16S ribosomal RNA". It matches the Rfam family "Bacterial small subunit ribosomal RNA", at positions 509 to 807 of the family's 1533-position model. The record is from RNAcentral.